Molecule: long non-coding RNA, 763 nt
Organism: Rhineura floridana
Lineage: Eukaryota; Metazoa; Chordata; Lepidosauria; Squamata; Rhineuridae
Exons: 3
Source: RefSeq, a predicted model, not a curated record
GCAGCCUCAGCCCAGUCAUGCCAGAUGCAAUGGGGUAGAGAUCCAUGCCAGCCUCAACUGAUUGAGCGGACCACAACUCAGUGCCAGAGCAUCUGAGGUCCCGUCCUGGGUUCUACACCCCGGCUUCUCCAGGUGGAGCUGGGAAUAUCCCCUGCCUGAAGACCUGGAGAGCCGCUUCCUUCACUCUCAUUUCGUCAGCAAUUUGAUGCCAUUUUCCAUUCUGGUUUCUCUUGGACUUACCCAGCUGCCGGGCUCUUCCUAUGUUUAAUCACCGGCAGGCUGCUCUGUUUUUAUCUCAAAUCAUCAUUAUCCUGUGAAGUUUUAUUGGGAGUGUAAACUACCUUGAACGUUCUCAGACAAACAGCUUCCGAGCUCAGCAAACGUUUGGCAUUAAUCCACUUGAGAGAAAGAGGUACUUGUAGCCUAGAAUUCCAUCUUCAUGGCGUGAUGUGCUUCAAUAAAAGAGAAAGCAGCAAUUAAAAGGAAAAAACACAAAAAGGGGAUUGUGGCUUACGCAGCAGAAUCCAGCUCAGAAAAUGUGGCCAGCGUCCAGAUCGCUCGGUGUUUGUGCAUCUGUGUGACUGCUGAAGGCUUUCGGCAAGCCCUCCCUCGCCUGCCCGGCCAGGAGGUGUUCGGCGCUGGCAUCCAAAAUUGCAACAGGCUGUGCAAGACUGUAAGUUGCCAAGCAAUGGUGGUGGUGUCUCCCUCCCCCCAAAUUUCCUUUCUGUCUUUCUUCUGACUCUGCAGUUCCCGAGUUUGCUCC